Molecule: ribosomal RNA, 451 nt
Filed under: uncultured bacterium
Lineage: Bacteria
Description: partial 16S ribosomal RNA
Rfam family: Bacterial small subunit ribosomal RNA
Source: RNAcentral
GUGGGGAAUAUUGGACAAUGGGGGGAACCCUGAUCCAGCCAUGCCGCGUGUGUGAAGAAGGCCUUUUGGUUGUAAAGCACUUUAAGCGAGGAGGAGGCUACCGAGAUUAAUACUCUUGGAUAGUGGACGUUACUCGCAGAAUAAGCACCGGCUAACUCUGUGCCAGCAGCCGCGGUAAUACAGAGGGUGCAAGCGUUAAUCGGAUUUACUGGGCGUAAAGCGCGCGUAGGUGGCCAAUUAAGUCAAAUGUGAAAUCCCCGAGCUUAACUUGGGAAUUGCAUUCGAUACUGGUUGGCUAGAGUAUGGGAGAGGAUGGUAGAAUUCCAGGUGUAGCGGUGAAAUGCGUAGAGAUCUGGAGGAAUACCGAUGGCGAAGGCAGCCAUCUGGCCUGAUACUGACACUGAGGUGCGAAAGCAUGGGGAGCAAACAGGAUUAGAAACCCUGGUAGUCC